RNAcentral lists this transfer RNA (76 nucleotides) under Acetomicrobium flavidum. RNAcentral's name for it is "tRNA-Glu". It matches the Rfam family "tRNA". From Rfam's summary of the family: Transfer RNA (tRNA) molecules are approximately 80 nucleotides in length. Their secondary structure includes four short double-helical elements and three loops (D, anti-codon, and T loops). The record is from RNAcentral. RNAcentral also lists the same sequence under 1 other name. Lineage: Bacteria; Thermotogati; Synergistota; Synergistia; Synergistales; Acetomicrobiaceae.
GGCCCCAUCGUCUAGCGGUCUAGGACUCCGGGUUCUCAGCCCGGCAACAGGGGUUCGAAUCCCCUUGGGGCUACCA